UCUCUUUCUCCCGCGUUUUUCUUCCUCUCCUCGGCUCUCUCUGCAACUCCGGCCAUCUCCCUCUUCCGGCCACCUGGGAGCGAACAAGCAGCACCGGUCGACUCCUCUACCCCUACCCAACCUCCCCACGGCGGUAACUCACGGCGACUUGGCCGGAAAAUGACGCAUCGGGUCCUUGAAGUUUCACUGUAGCAGAAGUGGUCAACGCCGAUAUCUUCCCUUUCCGGCCGUCUCCGGCCACCAAACCGGCGUCGAAGGUUCGGUUUUUGGCAAGGAUCAUUUUGCCCCUAGCCUCAAGCCACGAUUUGCAGCGUGGAGGAAGAAUCGAAGGGCGAUGUACCGAGCUAUUGCUCGACAAAGGAACUCGUAUGCAUGGUCGCCUAAAUAGUACUUUUGCAGGCCAAUUUAGCUUGAGGUCGAGCGUACUUGGGGUUGAGGCAUAGCUGUCAUAGCUUCCGCAUUAUAAAAGCAUCGGUCAUUUAUCUUGCUUUCUAUUCUCUUGUUCGCCUGUACAUUAGAUUGCUCUGAUAACCUAUGAGAUUAAUAUUCUUAAAUUCAGAAUUGUUUAUGAAAUGAGAGAUGUGAGAUGUUGUGAUAUAGGGAGCAGGGUGGCUCCAGGAGAAUAAGGAUGAAUGAUUUAGAAGUGUGGAUGUUUUUCUACAGGUUUUGGGUUGUCCAUUUUUAGGGGAAGUUCUGUCAAAUUUUUGGUAGAAUUUCUUCUAAAGUGGGCCCCGCAUGACCUCUUCGGAAUUCAGGGUGAAAUCCGGGGCGGGUCCUGUCAAUGGACCCCAAGCAAAUAUGUGUUUUAGGCGGAAAUAGAAUUCCUAUGAUCACAAUCUGAGGCAAAAAAUCUGCAAGGAUUAAUGUACCUCAUUCAUGCUCAAUAGCUUGACUUCUUCUGUUGGUAGAUGUUGAUGCAUUCUUUUUACUUAUAAGUCAUCUUUACUUGCAAUGAGAAUAUCAGUAAUAGUUCUAUUCUUCCGUUAAAA
Molecule: long non-coding RNA, 989 nt
Organism: Rosa rugosa (rugosa rose)
Lineage: Eukaryota; Viridiplantae; Streptophyta; Magnoliopsida; Rosales; Rosaceae
Exons: 3
Source: RefSeq, a predicted model, not a curated record